CUCAGAAGCAUCAAGAACAUCACCAUGAGGACGCUCAGUGUCACGGUCGGACUCCUGCUGUUGCUCGCCGCCUUGAGCUCCAACGCUGGCCCUCAUGGAGGAAUGCCGUCCAAGUGCUGCUUUAACUUUUUCGGACAACAGAUCCCAGCGGCUUUUGUUCUCUCAAUCCAGAAGACUCACUUCAGAUGUCACACUAAAGCCUUUGUGAUCAAAACCUCCAUUGGGGAGGUCUGUGUGAAGCAGACUGAAUGGUCUGAGGCAGUUUAUAACAAACUCCAUCACAACAUCAAUUCCUAACCUUCCUCCAUCAUCAUCAUCAUCUUCUUCUUCUUCAUUCAAAAGAUGAAAGCGCUCUAAGGGGAAAACGGUGCGACACAAACAGAGAAAAAUGGACCAAAAUCACACCAAUCUGCAAAUUUAAAGGCUCUGACUGAAAAACAGGGAUUUCUUCACAUCUGAGAUCAACCUAUACAAGACUUUUACUCGCCUCUGUCAGAAAUUCUUUCCUCAAAACUCUCUUGUAAAUGGGUUGAUUAAAAGCUUUUGAAUUGAAUAUUUGAUCAAUACUCAUCUAAAAAGUCUCUGUUUUCAUUUUUAGGCUCAAAUCCUAAUUAACGAAUAAACUUUGUUCA
Oryzias latipes (Japanese medaka) is the source of this 632-nucleotide long non-coding RNA. RefSeq lists it as uncharacterized. The record is from RefSeq and is a predicted model, not a curated record. Lineage: Eukaryota; Metazoa; Chordata; Actinopteri; Beloniformes; Adrianichthyidae.